This is a long non-coding RNA of Mytilus trossulus (common blue mussel), 248 nucleotides long. RefSeq lists it as uncharacterized. The transcript is spliced from 3 exons. NCBI's taxonomy places the organism in Eukaryota, Metazoa, Mollusca, Bivalvia, Mytilida, Mytilidae. The record is from RefSeq and is a predicted model, not a curated record.
AUUUCUUUCUUUCUUCCAGCUUCCUGUGUAUCAUGCAAAGUCAAAAUCAAAGAUAUGGAUGAGAUGCCUUCCCAUGUUGAUCAGCAUUCAGAGAUGCAGGUUACUGAAAUUGAAGACAGAAUACCUGUAAUAGAAGAUUCCAUGUCUAGAAUAAUGCAACAGCAGAUGACAGAACUUUCACAUAAGAGAGACCACACAAGUUCAGAGGAUUUUCAUUAUAACCUUAGAGAAAAUAAACCAAAAAUUGU